GAUGAACGCUGGCGGCGUGCUUAACACAUGCAAGUCGAACGGAAAGGCGCUGAUCUUGUGGGGUUCUCGAGUGGCGAACGGGUGAGUAACACGUGAGUAACAUGCCCUUGACUGUGGGAUAACAUCAGGAAACUGGGGCUAUUACCCGAUAGGAUCUACUGCUGCAUGUUGGGGGAUGGAAAGUUUCGGCGGUUGGGGAUUGAGUCGCGGGUUCUCAGCGUGUUGGUGGGGUAGUGGCGGUCCAAGGCUUUGACGGCUAGGCGGCCUGAGAGGGUGACCGGGCACAUUGCGACUGAGAUACGGCGCAGAAUCGUACGGGACGCAGCAGUGGGGAACAUUGCACAAUAGGCGGAAGCCGGGUGCAGCAACGCCGCGUGCGGGAUGACGGCCUUCGGGUUGUAAACCGAUUUCGCAUGUGACGAAGACUGAGUGACGGUACUGGGUAAAGAAGCACCGGCUAACUACGUG
RNAcentral lists this ribosomal RNA (468 nucleotides) under uncultured bacterium. Its description in RNAcentral is "partial 16S ribosomal RNA". It matches the Rfam family "Bacterial small subunit ribosomal RNA", at positions 28 to 507 of the family's 1533-position model. The record is from RNAcentral.